ACCCUCUCGGUAUCACACGAGGAGAGUUUCCACGACUCUGCCAGCCUCGGCUACGGGAGGGAGAGCCAGGCAGAGGCUCGCCCAUUCCAUUCCUAGCCUGGCCAGUGGCUAGCGAGUGGAAGGCCAUCUGCUACAAAU
This is a small nucleolar RNA of Ornithorhynchus anatinus (platypus), 138 nucleotides long. The record is from RefSeq and is a predicted model, not a curated record. Lineage: Eukaryota; Metazoa; Chordata; Mammalia; Monotremata; Ornithorhynchidae.